Molecule: ribosomal RNA, 253 nt
Filed under: uncultured bacterium
Lineage: Bacteria
Description: partial 16S ribosomal RNA
Rfam family: Bacterial small subunit ribosomal RNA
Source: RNAcentral
UACGAAGGGGGCUAGCGUUGCUCGGAAUCACUGGGCGUAAAGGGUGCGUAGGCGGGUCUUUAAGUCAGGGGUGAAAUCCUGGAGCUCAACUCCAGAACUGCCUUUGAUACUGGCGACCUUGAGUUCGGGAGAGGUGAGUGGAACUGCGAGUGUAGAGGUGAAAUUCGUAGAUAUUCGCAAGAACACCAGUGGCGAAGGCGGCUCACUGGCCCGAUACUGACGCUGAGGUGCGAAAGCUAGGGGAGCAAACGGG